UGGUGGGUAGUUUGACUGGGGCGGUCUCCUCCUAAAGAGUAACGGAGGAGCACGAAGGUUGGCUAAUCCUGGUCGGACAUCAGGAGGUUAGUGCAAUGGCAUAAGCCAGCUUGACUGCGAGCGUGACGGCGCGAGCAGGUGCGAAAGCAGGUCAUAGUGAUCCGGUGGUUCUGAAUGGAAGGGCCAUCGCUCAACGGAUAAAAGGUACUCCGGGGAUAACAGGCUGAUACCGCCCAAGAGUUCAUAUCGACGGCGGUGUUUGGCACCUCGAUGUCGGCUCAUCACAUCCUGGGGCUGAAGUAGGUCCCAAGGGUAUGGCUGUUCGCCAUUUAAAGUGGUACGCGAGCUGGGUUUAGAACGUCGUGAGACAGUUCGGUCCCUAUCUGCCGUGGGCGCUGGAGAACUGAGGGGGGCUGCUCCUAGUACGAGAGGACCGGAGUGGACGCAUCACUGGUGUUCGGGUUGUCAUGCCAAUGGCACUGCCCGGUAGCUAAAUGCGGAAGAGAUAAGUGCUGAAAGCAUCUAAGCACGAAACUUGCCCCGAGAUGAGUUCUCCCUGACUCCUUGAGAGUCCUGAAGGAACGUUGAAGACGACGACGUUGAUAGGCCGGGUGUGUAAGCGCAG
Molecule: ribosomal RNA, 625 nt
Filed under: Escherichia coli
Lineage: Bacteria; Pseudomonadati; Pseudomonadota; Gammaproteobacteria; Enterobacterales; Enterobacteriaceae
Description: partial 23S ribosomal RNA
Rfam family: Bacterial large subunit ribosomal RNA
Source: RNAcentral